CAGUCGCCGCGGUAAUACAGAGGGUGCGAGCGUUAAUCGGAUUUACUGGGCGUAAAGCGUGCGUAGGCGGCUUCUUAAGUCGGAUGUGAAAUCCCUGAGCUUAACUUAGGAAUUGCAUUCGAUACUGGGAAGCUAGAGUAUGGGAGAGGAUGGUAGAAUUCCAGGUGUAGCGGUGAAAUGCGUAGAGAUCGGAAGGAACAUCUGUGGCGAAGGCGACUAUCUGGGCCAACACUGACACUGAGGCACGAAAGCGUGGGGAGCAAACAGGAUUAGAUACCCCAGUAGUCCCUGUCUCUUAUAC
This 301-nucleotide ribosomal RNA is filed under the name uncultured bacterium. RNAcentral describes it as "partial 16S ribosomal RNA". It matches the Rfam family "Bacterial small subunit ribosomal RNA", at positions 509 to 807 of the family's 1533-position model. The record is from RNAcentral.